UACGAAGGGGGCAAGCGUUGUUCGGAUUUACUGGGCGUAAAGCGUCCGUAGGCGGUUUGACAAGUCAGAAGUGAAAGCCCUGGGCUUAACCCAGGAAUUGCUUUUGAAACUGUCUUACUUGAGGCCGGGAGAGGCAAGUGGAAUUCCGAGUGUAGAGGUGAAAUUCGCAGAUAUUCGGAGGCACACCAGUGGCGAAAGCGACUUGCUGGAACGGUUCUGACGCUGAUGGACGAAAGCGUGGGGAGCAAACAGG
Molecule: ribosomal RNA, 253 nt
Filed under: uncultured bacterium
Lineage: Bacteria
Description: partial 16S ribosomal RNA
Rfam family: Bacterial small subunit ribosomal RNA
Source: RNAcentral